GAUGAACGCUGGCGGUAUGCCUAACACAUGCAAGUCGUACGAGAGUUUUUAACUCUAGUGGCGGACGGGUGAGUAACACGUGAGAAUUUGCCUUUAGGAGGGGGACAACAAUUGGAAACGAAUGCUAAUACCCCAUAUGCUUUUGAGUGAAAUGGAUUUUAUCCGCCUAGAGAGAAGCUCGCGGCUGAUUAGCUUGUUGGUAAGGUAAGAGCUUACCAAGGCGACGAUCAGUAUCUGGUUUGAGAGGACGAUCAGACACACUGGAACUGAGACACGGUCCAGACUCCUACGGGAGGCAGCAGUGGGGAAUUUUCCGCAAUGGGCGAAAGCCUGACGGAGCAAUACCGCGUGAGGGAAGAAUGCCUAUGGGUUGUAAACCUCUUUUUCAGGGAGGAAUAAAAUGACGUGUACCUGAAGAAUAAGCAUCGGCUAACUCCGUG
Molecule: ribosomal RNA, 440 nt
Filed under: uncultured bacterium
Lineage: Bacteria
Description: bacterial SSU rRNA
Rfam family: Bacterial small subunit ribosomal RNA
Source: RNAcentral